GUAACAAGGUUCCGUUGGUGAACCAGCGGAGGGAUCAUUACCGAGUUUACAACUCCCAAACCCCUGUGAACAUACCUUAAUGUUGCCUCGGCGGAUCAGCCCGCGCCCCGUAAAACGGGACGGCCCGCCAGAGGACCCAAACUCUAAUGUUUCUUAUUGUAACUUCUGAGUAAAACAAACAAAUAAAUCAAAACUUUCAACAACGGAUCUCUUGGUUCUGGCAUCGAUGAAGAACGCAGCAAAAUGCGAUAAGUAAUGUGAAUUGCAGAAUUCAGUGAAUCAUCGAAUCUUUGAACGCACAUUGCGCCCGCUGGUAUUCCGGCGGGCAUGCCUGUUCGAGCGUCAUUUCAACCCUCAAGCCCCCGGGUUUGGUGUUGGGGAUCGGCUCUGCCUUCUGGCGGUGCCGCCCCCGAAAUACAUUGGCGGUCUCGCUGCAGCCUCCAUUGCGUAGUAGCUAACACCUCGCAACUGGAACGCGGCGCGGCCAUGCCGUAAAACCCCAACUUCUGAAUGUUGACCUCGGAUCAGGUAGGAAUACCCGCUGAACUUAGCAUAUCAAUAAGCGGA
RNAcentral lists this ribosomal RNA (567 nucleotides) under Fusarium avenaceum. RNAcentral's name for it is "eukaryotic LSU rRNA". The stretch from base 192 to 345 matches the Rfam family "5.8S ribosomal RNA". Lineage: Eukaryota; Fungi; Ascomycota; Sordariomycetes; Hypocreales; Nectriaceae. The record is from RNAcentral.